Molecule: ribosomal RNA, 484 nt
Filed under: uncultured bacterium
Lineage: Bacteria
Description: partial 16S ribosomal RNA
Rfam family: Bacterial small subunit ribosomal RNA
Source: RNAcentral
AUUGAGCGCUGGCGGCAGGCCUAACACAUGCAAGUCGAGCGGAUGAAGGGAGCUUGCUCCUGGACUCAGCGGCGGACGGGUGAGUAAUGCCUAGGAAUCUGCCUGGUAGUGGGGGAUAACGUCCGGAAACGGGCGCUAAUACCGCAUACGUCCUGAGGGAGAAAGUGGGGGAUCUUCGGACCUCACGCUAUCAGAUGAGCCUAGGUCGGAUUAGCUAGUUGGUGGGGUAAAGGCCUACCAAGGCGACGAUCCGUAACUGGUCUGAGAGGAUGAUCAGUCACACUGGAACUGAGACACGGUCCAGACUCCUACGGGAGGCAGCAGUGGGGAAUAUUGGACAAUGGGCGAAAGCCUGAUCCAGCCAUGCCGCGUGUGUGAAGAAGGUCUUCGGAUUGUAAAGCACUUUAAGUUGGGAGGAAGGGCAGUAAGUUAAUACCUUACUGUUUUGACGUUACCAACAGAAUAAGCACCGGCUAACUUCGUG